RNAcentral lists this small nuclear RNA (22 nucleotides) under Arabidopsis thaliana (thale cress). RNAcentral's name for it is "snRNA_02129". The record is from RNAcentral. Lineage: Eukaryota; Viridiplantae; Streptophyta; Magnoliopsida; Brassicales; Brassicaceae.
AUUUAGCGUAUCAAGUAGAACA